UACGUAGGGACCAAGCGUUGUUCGGAUUUACUGGGCGUAAAGGGCGCGUAGGCGGCGUGUCAAGUCAAUUGUGAAAUCUCCGAGCUUAACUCGGAACGGUCAAUUGAUACUGAUGUGCUAGAGUGCAGAAGGGGCAAUCGGAAUUCUUGGUGUAGCGGUGAAAUGCGUAGAUAUCAAGAGGAACACCUGAGGUGAAGACGGGUUGCUGGGCUGACACUGACGCUGAGGCGCGAAAGCCAGGGGAGCAAACGGGG
This 254-nucleotide ribosomal RNA is filed under the name uncultured bacterium. Its description in RNAcentral is "partial 16S ribosomal RNA". It matches the Rfam family "Bacterial small subunit ribosomal RNA", at positions 524 to 777 of the family's 1533-position model. The record is from RNAcentral.